RNAcentral lists this non-coding RNA (1028 nucleotides) under Streptomyces mobaraensis. RNAcentral's name for it is "Bacterial large subunit ribosomal RNA". It matches the Rfam family "Bacterial large subunit ribosomal RNA", at positions 1898 to 2925 of the family's 2925-position model. Lineage: Bacteria; Bacillati; Actinomycetota; Actinomycetes; Kitasatosporales; Streptomycetaceae. The record is from Rfam by way of RNAcentral.
GGCGAAGCUGAGAACUUAAGCGCCAGUAAACGGCGGUGGUAACUAUAACCAUCCUAAGGUAGCGAAAUUCCUUGUCGGGUAAGUUCCGACCUGCACGAAUGGCGUAACGACUUCUCGACUGUCUCAACCAUAGGCCCGGUGAAAUUGCACUACGAGUAAAGAUGCUCGUUUCGCGCAGCAGGACGGAAAGACCCCGGGACCUUUACUAUAGCUUGAUAUUGGUGUUCGGUUCGGCUUGUGUAGGAUAGGUGGGAGACUGUGAAGCAUGCACGCCAGUGUGUGUGGAGUCGUCGUUGAAAUACCACUCUGGUCGUGCUGGAUGUCUAACCUGGGUCCGUGAUCCGGAUCAGGGACAGUGUCUGGUGGGUAGUUUAACUGGGGCGGUUGCCUCCUAAAGGGUAACGGAGGCGCCCAAAGGUUCCCUCAGCCUGGUUGGCAAUCAGGUGUUGAGUGUAAGUGCACAAGGGAGCUUGACUGUGAGACCGACGGGUCGAGCAGGGACGAAAGUCGGGACUAGUGAUCCGGCGGUGGCUUGUGGAAGCGCCGUCGCUCAACGGAUAAAAGGUACCCCGGGGAUAACAGGCUGAUCUUCCCCAAGAGUCCAUAUCGACGGGAUGGUUUGGCACCUCGAUGUCGGCUCGUCGCAUCCUGGGGCUGGAGUCGGUCCCAAGGGUUGGGCUGUUCGCCCAUUAAAGCGGUACGCGAGCUGGGUUUAGAACGUCGUGAGACAGUUCGGUCCCUAUCCGCUGUGCGCGUAGGAGUCUUGAGAAGGGCUGUCCCUAGUACGAGAGGACCGGGACGGACGAACCUCUGGUGUGCCAGUUGUUCUGCCAAGGGCAUGGCUGGUUGGCUACGUUCGGGAGGGAUAACCGCUGAAAGCAUCUAAGCGGGAAGCCUGCUUCGAGAUGAGGACUCCCACCCACUUGAUGGGGUAAGGCUCCCAGUAGACGACUGGGUUGAUAGGCCAGGUGUGGAAGACCGGUAACGGUUGGAGCUGACUGGUACUAAUAGGCCGAGGGCUUGUCCUC